CAGGAAUUGAAAGGCAGAGGGAGACACAAGGGUGUUUGUGAUCUCAGCCCUGGGGAGUCUUGAGGAAGAUGAUUUCUUGCUCAAGAGAGAGAGAGAGACCUUGACAUUUUCCCCCCAAGGAACAAUAUGAAACCAGCAGGUGAGCAGAUGUGAUGCACGUUCUCCAGCUGAUAUGGAAAAAGGCUCAGAGAAGAGACCACCUGCUUCACAAUCUUUUUUGAGCCCUUUUGAGUCUUCAGGGAAGAGACAGAAUAUGAAAGCAGCAUCACCUUUGGGAAGGACCUCUGUCUCUGAAUUAGUGGGACGGUAUCAGGAUAUAUUUGAUUGUGAAAAUGCUUCCUCAGCUGAUGGAAAGUCAAAGGUGAGCGGAAG
Molecule: long non-coding RNA, 372 nt
Organism: Sceloporus undulatus (fence lizard)
Lineage: Eukaryota; Metazoa; Chordata; Lepidosauria; Squamata; Phrynosomatidae
Exons: 3
Source: RefSeq, a predicted model, not a curated record